UGAGCAAUCUGCCCUUCUCAUCGGAAUAAAGCGUUGGAAACGACGUCUAAUGCCGAAUACGACCUCCUUUCGCAUGAUCGGAGGUGGAAAGCUCCGGCGGAGAAGGAUGAGCUCGCGGCCUAUCAGCUAGUUGGUGUGGGUAAUGGCCCACCAAGGCGACGACGGGUAGCCGGCCUGAGAGGGUGACCGGCCACACUGGGACUGAGACACGGCCCAGACUCCUACGGGAGCAG
Molecule: ribosomal RNA, 233 nt
Filed under: uncultured bacterium
Lineage: Bacteria
Description: partial 16S ribosomal RNA
Rfam family: Bacterial small subunit ribosomal RNA
Source: RNAcentral